UAGGGAAUCUUCGGCAAUGGACGGAAGUCUGACCGAGCAACGCCGCGUGAGUGAAGAAGGUUUUCGGAUCGUAAAGCUCUGUUGUAAGAGAAGAACGAGUGUGAGAGUGGAAAGUUCACACUGUGACGGUAUCUUACCAGAAAGGGACGGCUAACUACGUGCCAGCAGCCGCGGUAAUACGUAGGUCCCGAGCGUUGUCCGGAUUUAUUGGGCGUAAAGCGAGCGCAGGCGGUUAGAUAAGUCUGAAGUUAAAGGCUGUGGCUUAACCAUAGUAGGCUUUGGAAACUGUUUAACUCGAGUGCAAGAGGGGAGAGUGGAAUUCCAUGUGUAGCGGUGAAAUGCGUAGAUAUAUGGAGGAACACCGGUGGCGAAAGCGGCUCUCUGGCUUGUAACUGACGCUGAGGCUCGAAAGCGUGGGGAGCAAACAGGAUUAGAUACCCUGGUAGUCCACGCUGUAAACGAUGAGUGCUAGGUGUUAGACCCUUUCCGGGGUUUAGUGCCGUAGCUAACGCAUUAAGCACUCCGCCUGGGGAGUACGACCGCAAGGUUG
RNAcentral lists this ribosomal RNA (550 nucleotides) under uncultured bacterium. RNAcentral's name for it is "bacterial SSU rRNA". It matches the Rfam family "Bacterial small subunit ribosomal RNA", at positions 355 to 896 of the family's 1533-position model. The record is from RNAcentral.